UUUCCGUAGGUGAACCUGCGGAAGGAUCAUUAUUGUGUAACCGAGGUGCGAGGGCUGUCGCUGACCCGAAAGGUCGUGCACGCCCGAGUGCCCUCACACACAUCCAUCUCACCCCUAUGUGCACCACCGCGUGGGUCCCCCUUGGGCUUGUUCGGAGGGGGGCUUACGUUUUCACACAAACUUUGUAUGCAGUGUAGAAUGUAUUUUUUGUUUUUGCGAUCACGCAAUCAAUACAACUUUCAACAACGGAUCUCUUGGCUCUC
RNAcentral lists this unclassified non-coding RNA (263 nucleotides) under plant metagenome. RNAcentral's name for it is "partial contains small subunit ribosomal RNA, internal transcribed spacer 1, and 5.8S ribosomal RNA". The record is from RNAcentral.